Molecule: unclassified non-coding RNA, 314 nt
Filed under: Hevea brasiliensis (rubber tree)
Lineage: Eukaryota; Viridiplantae; Streptophyta; Magnoliopsida; Malpighiales; Euphorbiaceae
Source: RNAcentral
CUCCCCUACCUGCAAGCUCAAAUUUAUGUAACUAUUAGAUAGUUUUGGCACAGUGGAUAUCAAAAACACAGGCAAUGUGACAUUCGGAUCCACUUGCUAUAGUACACACUAGUUUCUAUUCUUGUACACACACAUUAAGCCCACGAGAAAAAGGAAUGGACUGAGCUAUGUAUUCAUUAGAUGCACUUUCUCUAAUAUAUAGGUAUAUAGAGUUAAGCUAGAUGAUAAUUCAACCUUGAUUAAGAUUUGCUCUUGAACUUCCUUUGAGCUUUCAAGUCCACCACUAUCACUGAGAUAUUAUCCUUGCUUCCUUU